RNAcentral lists this ribosomal RNA (468 nucleotides) under uncultured bacterium. Its description in RNAcentral is "partial 16S ribosomal RNA". It matches the Rfam family "Bacterial small subunit ribosomal RNA", at positions 28 to 507 of the family's 1533-position model. The record is from RNAcentral.
GACGAACGCUGGCGGCGUGCUUAACACAUGCAAGUCGAACGGAAAGGCCCUGCUUUUGUGGGGUGCUCGAGUGGCGAACGGGUGAGUAACACGUGAGUAACCUGCCCUUGACUUUGGGAUAACUUCAGGAAACUGGGGCUAAUACCGGAUAGGAGCUCCUGCUGCAUGGUGGGGGUUGGAAAGUUUCGGCGGUUGGGGAUGGACUCGCGGCUUAUCAGCUUGUUGGUGGGGUAGUGGCUUACCAAGGCUUUGACGGGUAGCCGGCCUGAGAGGGUGACCGGCCACAUUGGGACUGGGAUACGGCCCAGACUCCUACGGGAGGGAGCAGUGGGGAAUAUUGCACAAUGGGCGGAAGCCUGAUGCAGCAACGCCGCGGGCGGGAUGACGGCCUUCGGGUUGGAAACCGCUUUCGCCUGGGACGAAGCGGGAGUGACGGGAAUGGGUAAAGAAGCAACCGCUAACUACGGG